AUCCCCUGGGGAUCUUGUUAAAAUUCAGAUUCUGAUUCAGUAAGUCUUGGAUGGGGGUGACUGAGAUUCUGCAUUUCUAACAAGCUCUCUGGUGAUGGUGA
RNAcentral lists this microRNA precursor (101 nucleotides) under Muntiacus reevesi (Reeves' muntjac). RNAcentral describes it as "mir-544 microRNA precursor family". It matches the Rfam family "mir-544 microRNA precursor family". The record is from Rfam by way of RNAcentral. RNAcentral also lists the same sequence under 6 other names. Lineage: Eukaryota; Metazoa; Chordata; Mammalia; Artiodactyla; Cervidae.